Molecule: ribosomal RNA, 222 nt
Filed under: uncultured bacterium
Lineage: Bacteria
Description: partial 16S ribosomal RNA
Rfam family: Bacterial small subunit ribosomal RNA
Source: RNAcentral
AGUAAUGUAUGGGGAUCUGCCCGAUAGAGGGGGAUAACUACUGGAAACGGUGGCUAAUACCGCAUAAUGUCUACGGACCAAAGCAGGGGCUCUUCGGACCUUGCACUAUCGGAUGAACCCAUAUGGGAUUAGCUAGUAGGUGGGGUAAAGGCUCACCUAGGCGACGAUCUCUAGCUGGUCUAAGAGGAUGAUCAGCCACACUGGGACUGAGACACGGCCCAG